UUUAAAAAUUGUUUUCUUUUCCUAGAUGCUUAUGGUGUUGUUUGGACUGUCUCGGCGAUUAAGAGAAUGCCAUGGGUUGCUACUGAAAAUGCAAUACAAGAUGAAUGUCUAUUGGUAGAGAUAAUGCUUAAGGAUUCAACGUAAGUAUUGUUAAUAAUAGUUUUGGUUUUGUUUGCAAAUGGUUUUAUAUAUGUAGCUUAUGUCAUACAUUGUUAGCAGAUUAUAAUUGGAACAUGUUUUAGUGGUGAGAUUUUCACAUGUUGUGCUGUGGGAGAAUAUUGUGAUCGUUUCAUGCAUAGCUGGCGUAACAAAGGAUACGACGAGGAUUUCAGCUACCAGUUAGUUAACGAGCCUGUUGUAUGUGUUCUUC
RNAcentral lists this long non-coding RNA (370 nucleotides) under Capsella grandiflora. RNAcentral describes it as "long non-coding RNA (CGRA_LNC001443)". The record is from RNAcentral. Lineage: Eukaryota; Viridiplantae; Streptophyta; Magnoliopsida; Brassicales; Brassicaceae.